AUUGAACGCUGGCGGCAUGCCUUACACAUGCAAGUCGAACGGUAACGGGCCUUCGGGUGCCGACGAGUGGCGAACGGGUGCGUAAUACAUCGGAACGUGCCCGAUCGUGGGGGAUAACGAGGCGAAAGCUUUGCUAAUACCGCAUACGAUCUACGGAUGAAAGCAGGAGACCGCAAGGCCUUGCGCGGACGGAGCGGCCGAUGGCAGAUUAGGUAGUUGGUCGGAUAAAAGCUUACCAAGCCGACGAUCUGUAGCUGGUCUGAGAGGAUGAUCAGCCACACUGGGACUGAGACACGGCCCAGACUCCUACGGGAGGCAGCAGUAGGGAAUUUUGGACAAUGGGCGCAAGCCUGAUCCAGCCAUGCCGCGUGCAGGAUGAAGGCCUUCGGGUUGUAAACUGCUUUUGUACGGAACGAAAAGCCGUCUUUUAAUACAGGAGGGUCAUGACGGUACCGUAAGAAUAAGCACCGGCUAACUACGUG
RNAcentral lists this ribosomal RNA (482 nucleotides) under uncultured bacterium. RNAcentral's name for it is "partial 16S ribosomal RNA". It matches the Rfam family "Bacterial small subunit ribosomal RNA", at positions 30 to 507 of the family's 1533-position model. The record is from RNAcentral.